GGACCGUUAGCUCAGUUGGUAGAGCAAUUGACUCUUAAUCAAUGGGUCACAGGUUCAAAUCCUGUACGGUUCACCA
Molecule: transfer RNA, 76 nt
Filed under: Tenericutes bacterium ADurb.Bin024
Lineage: Bacteria; Bacillati; Mycoplasmatota
Also listed under: 5 other names
Description: tRNA-Lys
Rfam family: tRNA
About the family: Transfer RNA (tRNA) molecules are approximately 80 nucleotides in length. Their secondary structure includes four short double-helical elements and three loops (D, anti-codon, and T loops).
Source: RNAcentral